RNAcentral lists this ribosomal RNA (242 nucleotides) under Streptomyces anulatus. RNAcentral describes it as "partial 16S ribosomal RNA". It matches the Rfam family "Bacterial small subunit ribosomal RNA", at positions 1 to 245 of the family's 1533-position model. Lineage: Bacteria; Bacillati; Actinomycetota; Actinomycetes; Kitasatosporales; Streptomycetaceae. The record is from RNAcentral.
CAUUCACGGAGAGUUUGAUCCUGGCUCAGGACGAACGCUGGCGGCGUGCUUAACACAUGCAAGUCGAACGAUGAAGCCUUUCGGGGUGGAUUAGUGGCGAACGGGUGAGUAACACGUGGGCAAUCUGCCCUUCACUCUGGGACAAGCCCUGGAAACGGGGUCUAAUACCGGAUAACACUCUGUCCCGCAUGGGACGGGGUUAAAAGCUCCGGCGGUGAAGGAUGAGCCCGCGGCCUAUCAGC